GAUGAAGAACGUAGCGAAAUGCGAUACGUAAUGUGAAUUGCAGAAUUCAGUGAAUCAUCGAGUCUUUGAACGCACAUUGCGCCCCCCGGUAUUCCGGGGGGCAUGCCUGUCCGAGCGUCAUUGCUGCCCUCAAGCACGGCUUGUGUGUUGGGCCUCCGUCCUCCUCCCGGGGGACGGGCCCGAAAGGCAGCGGCGGCACCGCGUCCGGUCCUCGGGCGUAUGGGGCUUCGUCACCCGCUCUUGUAGGCCCGGCCGGCGCUUGCCGACACAUCAAUCUUUUUUCCAGGUUGACCUCGGAUCAGGUAGGGAUACCCGCUGAACUUAAGCAUAUCAAUAAGCGGAGGA
RNAcentral lists this unclassified non-coding RNA (345 nucleotides) under soil metagenome. RNAcentral describes it as "partial contains 5.8S ribosomal RNA, internal transcribed spacer 2, and large subunit ribosomal RNA". The stretch from base 1 to 120 matches the Rfam family "5.8S ribosomal RNA", at positions 35 to 154 of the family's 154-position model. The record is from RNAcentral.